UGGGGAAUAUUGCACAAUGGGCGCAAGCCUGAUGCAGCCAUGCCGCGUGUAUGAAGAAGGCCUUCGGGUUGUAAAGUACUUUCAGGGGGGACGAAGGCGAUGUGGUUAAUAACCGCGUCGAUUGACGUUACCCGCAGAAGAAGCACCGGCUAACUCCGUGCCAGCAGCCGCGGUAAUACGGAGGGUGCAAGCGUUAAUCGGAAUUACUGGGCGUAAAGCGCACGCAGGCGGUCUGUCAAGUCGGAUGUGAAAUCCCCGGGCUCAACCUGGGAACUGCAUCCGAAACUGGCAGGCUUGAGUCUCGUAGAGGGGGGUAGAAUUCCAGGUGUAGCGGUGAAAUGCGUAGAGAUCUGGAGGAAUACCGGUGGCGAAGGCGGCCCCCUGGACGAAGACUGACGCUCAGGUGCGAAAGCGUGGGGAGCAAACA
Molecule: ribosomal RNA, 427 nt
Filed under: uncultured bacterium
Lineage: Bacteria
Description: partial 16S ribosomal RNA
Rfam family: Bacterial small subunit ribosomal RNA
Source: RNAcentral